Molecule: ribosomal RNA, 785 nt
Filed under: Campyloscelina gen. sp. B BHJ-2011
Lineage: Eukaryota; Metazoa; Arthropoda; Insecta; Coleoptera; Curculionidae
Description: eukaryotic LSU rRNA
Rfam family: Eukaryotic large subunit ribosomal RNA
Source: RNAcentral
GGUACUGAGACCCAAAAAGUCGAAGGAAGAAAUUCACCGCUGUUUCGCAAGAGGCGUUAAGCAAUUGUGUACAUGUUUAUUAUUGUGUGGUCAAACAUACAAUAUAUAUGCUGUCCAUUGUUUAUACGAACCGCUUAUGAACGCGUGCAUUUUUCUUCUGGUAGGACGUUGCAAUCCGUUGAAAUGUUGUUUAUUGGUUUACGGCAUACGGUGGAGUUCGUUAACUUUUUUUAAUCGAUAGGUGGACGCCCCCGUAUUGUUUCCUAACCAAUAUUUGACGGUAUAAUAUAGGAUCUUGGACCGCUACUUUUUUUNNNNNNNUUUUUUAGCGUUCGACUCUUGUCAAGCACCAUCGACGAUUACGUUGGUUUUCGGACCUAGUGCCGAUUCUGACCGUCGGUGACUGUUGGACAGUGAUGUUCUCGAACUGUGUCUGAUCAAGAUCGAUUAGCGACGCUAUAGCUUUGGGUAAUUUCAGGACCCGUCUUGAAACACGGACCAAGGAGUCUAGCGUGUACGCGAGUCAUUGGGACCGUAUACGAAUCCUAAAGGCGCAAUGAAAGUAAGAAUACUCUUGUAGUGUUCAUGGGAAGACAAGUGAGAGAUAAUAUUUUGCUUUGCAUUCCCGGGGCGUCUCGUACUCAUUGCGAGUUGAGGCGCACCCAGAGCGUACACGCUGGGACCCGAAAGAUGGUGAACUAUGCCUGGUCAGGACGAAGUCAGGGGAAACCCUGAUGGAGGUCCGUAGCGAUUCUGACGUGCAAAUCGAUCGUCGGAACUGGGUA